This 227-nucleotide long non-coding RNA is filed under the name Elaeis guineensis (African oil palm). RNAcentral's name for it is "long non-coding RNA (EGUI_LNC028832)". Lineage: Eukaryota; Viridiplantae; Streptophyta; Magnoliopsida; Arecales; Arecaceae. The record is from RNAcentral.
UGUGCCCGACACGAAAUUGAUGUUCGACAUUUGAACAUUCAUAACCGAUGUGCCACAAGAAUAGAUUGAGAUUUGAUAUCUGACUUGUCUAUCACAUUACCAUCCUUUAAAUGCUUUUCCUAAAAUGCCAGCUUGAUCUUCCUUGGUCAACUGGUACAGUAAGAUUGGCAAAUUCAAAUUAGAGCCAUGCAAGCCACUAACUUCCAAUGUAAUGCUUCCUACCUACA